Molecule: long non-coding RNA, 303 nt
Organism: Xenia sp. Carnegie-2017
Lineage: Eukaryota; Metazoa; Cnidaria; Anthozoa; Malacalcyonacea; Xeniidae
Exons: 4
Source: RefSeq, a predicted model, not a curated record
CAGUCCUAAAUUUUCAUCGUCUUUUUUCUUUCAUUUUUUUUUUCUAACAGAAGUAAAAAUGUUGAAAAAAAUUAAGUUAUUGCAGCACUUGAAAACAAGAGAAUUACGUUCAGACGGUAGUAAAAACGCUGAAGACGUCAAUAGUAUUUAAUUACUUGAAGACCGGAGAAUUUUUUGAAGAGCACACGAAUGCAAGUUUUCUUAUGAAAAAGAAUAUGCUUGGAAAUGACUUCAAUACUAAGAGUUAUAGGCUGAUAAGUUUAUUUCAUAAAGUCAUUAAUUUACGAAUUCAACGACACAAGA